CUAUGGGAACUGCUGUUUACAAGCAAUGGAAUUAAACCAUUAGUAGGUAGUUAAUAUGGUCAAACCUGGGUUCUCUAUGAUUAAGGAAUUGAAGUCCAUCAGCAGAUUAAGGAAUUAAAGUCCACCAGCAGUUCGCACGCAAUGAUGCAUUCAAAGCUCUUAGAUUCUUGUCACCUACGGUACAAAGUUUCCAAUCAUGAAUCAUCAGUUGCCAUAAUUCCAUUUCAGCUGAAGCAGCACAUCGCUUUUUUAUAGCAUGCUCAUAGAUCACUAAUUGGUAAAUUCAACAAGUUUGAUUCUCCUGAAAAAUUCAAGGCAUUGACCCGUACCUGUUGAUGCGUGCCUUCUCAUGCCAUUUACAAGUGCAGAUAUAUCUGACAAGCACCGACCGCAAAUGAAAAUAUAGCAGCAAGCACUGGCGUCCUCAGUGCCGAAGUGAGCGCAGCUCAGAGAAGACUCAGCCGGGAUAUAUGAGCGGGUGGAGACGACUAAGCAGAGGGAUGUGAGUGCUAGUGGCCGAUUCGUCAUCUCGAGUGCCAAGCGGGCGAGGGCGGAUCUGAGAGAGGUGCACCCAGGCUGCUGCCGCUAAGUAUAGCAGGGCCCAUGCCAGUGUACCAACCGCCGUCGCUGACACAGGGGGAGGAAGAGGCGAGGGAGAGGCAUCCGCCGUUUCGCGUCUCCACAUCCGCGUCUCGGCUGCAGCGGCAACAACACUUGGCUGCGGCGGCGGCUCCAGUGACGGUGGCUCUAGCAACGGUGGCUGCAGCGACGGCGGCUUCGGUGGACGGAGGGAGUCCCGGUAGGGGAGGGUAGCAGAGCCGAGCGGCGGUCUGGCGGCGCGUAUGGGAUGGCGGCGGCGGCACGGAGGAAGUCAUGGAGCCGGCG
This 885-nucleotide long non-coding RNA is filed under the name Sorghum bicolor (sorghum). RNAcentral's name for it is "long non-coding RNA (SBIC_LNC018806)". The record is from RNAcentral. Lineage: Eukaryota; Viridiplantae; Streptophyta; Magnoliopsida; Poales; Poaceae.